This 918-nucleotide ribosomal RNA is filed under the name Nematoda environmental sample. Its description in RNAcentral is "SSU rRNA". It matches the Rfam family "Eukaryotic small subunit ribosomal RNA", at positions 88 to 1020 of the family's 1831-position model. Lineage: Eukaryota; Metazoa; Nematoda. The record is from RNAcentral.
UGCGAAUUGCUCAUUACAACAGCCAUUGUUUCUUGGAUCUUACUUUUUACUUGGAUAACUGUGGUAAUUCUAGAGCUAAUACACGCAUACAAGUUCCGACGCGAGAAGGAACGCAUUUAUUAGAACUAAACCAAUCGGGCUUGCCCGUUGUUUGGUGAAUCUGAAUAACUCCGCAGAUCGCACGGUCUAGCACCGGCGACAUAUCUUUCAAGUGUCUGCCUUAUCAACUUUCGAUGGUAGUUUAUGUGACUACCAUGGUUGUAACGGGUAACGGAGAAUUAGGGUUUGACUCCGGAGAGGGAGCCUGAGAAACGGCUACCACAUCCAAGGAAGGCAGCAGGCGCGCAAAUUACCCACUCUCGGCAUGAGGAGGUAGUGACGAAAAAUAACGAGACAGUUCUCUUUGAGGUCUGUCAUCGGAAUGGGUACAACCCAAACCCUUUAACGAGGGUCUAUUGGAGGGCAAGUCUGGUGCCAGCAGCCGCGGUAAUUCCAGCUCCAAUAGCGUAUAUUAAAGUCGUUGCGGUUAAAAAGCUCGUAGUUGGAUCUCUGGUCUUGUCGGCUGGUCUCCCUCAGGGUAGUACUGGUCGGCGGACCCGAACUGCUAGUUUUCCAUGCGUGCUCUUUAUUGGGUGCGUAUGGUGGCUAGCGCGUUUACUUUGAAAAAAUUAGAGUGCUCAAAGCAGGCUUUUGCCUGAAUAGUGGUGCAUGGAAUAAUGGAAUAGGACGUCUGUUCUAUUUGUUGGUUCAGAAUUUGACGUAAUGAUUAAGAGGGACAGACGGGGGCAUUCGUAUUGCUACGUUAGAGGUGAAAUUCUUGGAUCGUAGCACGACGAACAACUGCGAAAGCAUUUGCCAAGAAUGUUUUCAUUAAUCAAGAACGAAAGUUAGAGGUUCGAAGGCGAUCAGAUACCGCCC